Molecule: ribosomal RNA, 274 nt
Filed under: uncultured bacterium
Lineage: Bacteria
Description: partial 16S ribosomal RNA
Rfam family: Bacterial small subunit ribosomal RNA
Source: RNAcentral
AUACGGGGGGGGCAAGCGUUGUUCGGAAUUAUUGGGCGUAAAGCGUGUGUAGGUGGUUGAAUAAGUCAGACGUGUCAGCCCUCGGCUCAACCGGGGAAUUGCGUUUGAAACUAUUCGACUUGAGUGCAGGAGAGGAAAGCGGAAUUCCCAGUGUAGCGGUGAAAUGCGUUGAUAUUGGGAAGAACACCGGUGGCGAAGGCGGCUUUCUGGUCUGCUACUGACACUGAGAUACGAAAGCCAGGGGAGCGAACGGGAUUAGAAACCCCAGUAGUCC